Cephalotus follicularis is the source of this 106-nucleotide small nucleolar RNA. It matches the Rfam family "Plant small nucleolar RNA R71". From Rfam's summary of the family: R71 is a member of the C/D box family of snoRNAs containing the C (UGAUGA) and D (CUGA) box motifs. The record is from Rfam. Lineage: Eukaryota; Viridiplantae; Streptophyta; Magnoliopsida; Oxalidales; Cephalotaceae.
CAGCAUGAUAGGGACAUUUUCUGAUGAGAUCCUUUAAUCUUUCCCAUGAAUCAUGGAACUGCUCACCAUCUUGUUACGAAAAGCUAGUGACAGCUCGUCUUAUCUG